CGGGGAGACCGCGUUUAGAGGAUCAGUGGCGGCGGGCCCGCGCGGUGCCAGCGACUAGCAGAGAGAUGUCUUGGCCCCUUCCAGGUUUGGAGAUGGCCUUGGGGGAGCAACCUCCGGACCUCAGCAGUGUGAGGAUGACGACAACAGUACCCUGGGGUGCUGUCCCCACUCAGGGUUUCUCUGUGUAGCCCUGACUGUCCUGCAACUCACUCUGCAGACCAGGCUGGCCUCGAACUCAGAGAUCUACCUGCCUUUGCCUCUGGAGUACUGGGAUUAAAGAUGCAGAGGCCUCCCAGUGAAGUGUGAAGGGAUGGGCCUUAACCAGGGUUGAAGAAAGAAAGUGAAGAAGGGGAGAGCCCAAGGAAAGGUGGGGACAGUUGGAACUUCUGAUUACACUCUUCUGGUCUACUUCUCAUGUAUCAUAUGCUAUAAUCUCCAAAUUCCAUAUUUAUUGUAGCAGUCUGCGGUGUGUAUGCCCCGGCCGCAUGCUGCUUGGCUAAAAAAGUGUUAAAUAAAACUGUAAGAAACGAUA
RNAcentral lists this long non-coding RNA (532 nucleotides) under Mus pahari (shrew mouse). Its description in RNAcentral is "lncRNA (MGP_PahariEiJ_G0004640.1)". Lineage: Eukaryota; Metazoa; Chordata; Mammalia; Rodentia; Muridae. The record is from RNAcentral.